GUGACCUCAAAUCAGGUAGGACUACCCGCUGAACUUAAGCAUAUCAAUAAGCGGAGGAAAAGAAACUAACAAGGAUUCCCCUAGUAACUGCGAGUGAAGCGGGAAAAGCUCAAAUUUAAAAUCUGGCGGUCUUUUGGCUGUCCGAGUUGUAAUCUAGAGAAGUGUUAUCCGCGCUGGACCGUGUACAAGUCUCCUGGAAUGGAGCGUCGUAGAGGGUGAGAAUCCCGUCUUUGACACGGACAACCGGUGCUUUUGUGAUGCGCUCUCGAAGAGUCGAGUUGUUUGGAAUGCAGCUCAAAAUGGGUGGUAAAUUCCAUC
This 318-nucleotide ribosomal RNA is filed under the name uncultured Cortinarius. RNAcentral describes it as "eukaryotic LSU rRNA". It matches the Rfam family "Eukaryotic large subunit ribosomal RNA", at positions 1 to 310 of the family's 3401-position model. The record is from RNAcentral. Lineage: Eukaryota; Fungi; Basidiomycota; Agaricomycetes; Agaricales; Cortinariaceae.